This 435-nucleotide ribosomal RNA is filed under the name uncultured soil bacterium. Its description in RNAcentral is "bacterial SSU rRNA". It matches the Rfam family "Bacterial small subunit ribosomal RNA", at positions 26 to 454 of the family's 1533-position model. The record is from RNAcentral.
AGAUUGAACGCUGGUGGCAGGCCUAACACAUGCAAGUCGAGCGGCAGCACGGGUACUUGUACCUGGUGGCGAGCGGCGGACGGGUGAGUAAUGCCUAGGAAUCUGCCUGGUAGUGGGGGAUAACGCUCGGAAACGGACGCUAAUACCGCAUACGUCCUACGGGAGAAAGCAGGGGACCUUCGGCCUUGCGCUAUCAGAUGAGCCUAGGUCGGAUUAGCUAGUUGGUGAGGUAAUGGCUCACCAAGGCGACGAUCCGUAACUGGUCUGAGAGGAUGAUCAGUCACACUGGAACUGAGUCACGGUCCAGACUCCUACGGGAGGCAGCAGGUGGGAAUAUUGGACAAUGGGGACGAAAGCCGUGAAUCCAAGCCAUCGCCGCGUGUGUGAAAGAAGGUUCUUCGGAUUAGUAAAGCAGUUUAAGUGGAAGGAGGACUA